GAUUCCUACAAGGAGCAAGGACCACCUACAUUGAUCAGGGCCACGGCGGCCACAACAAUCCAUCCGUAGCCGCCAUCGGGGACAAUGCGACUUGCCUGUCCAUCCAUGUCCGUGCUCUCCGGGUUGCUCGGCGAGAUUAAACUGGCUGUGGGGAAAUGUGCGUCCUGAUAAGCCAGCCAAAUCGCACUUACACAUCGCAGACAAGGUGAACGGCUGUGGCUACGGCUCGUCUCGGCGCUUUCGCCCAACUGCGUGGCCAUUUCGUAAACAACGUAUUAGCAAAUUAAGCCGAAUUAAAGCUUAAAUUAGAAUAAAUUAAGCCCAAAGUCGCAAAAAUUUGAGAAGUCAGUAUGACCUUUGCGUGAGUGUCAUGAAAUGUUCAUCCCUAAAAAUUGCGCAUUAAUAAAGCAACGUUUGUUAAAACUUAA
Drosophila biarmipes is the source of this 428-nucleotide long non-coding RNA. RefSeq lists it as uncharacterized. The record is from RefSeq and is a predicted model, not a curated record. The transcript has 2 exons. NCBI's taxonomy places the organism in Eukaryota, Metazoa, Arthropoda, Insecta, Diptera, Drosophilidae.